CGCCGCGGAUCUUCGGUUGGCCUCGGAUAGCCGGCCUCGCCGGUGAGCAUCGCCACUCGUGACAGGGCUGGGGCGCGGCCGGAUCACGGUCGCCCCUCUCCUAUCUCGCACCGCAUGUUUGUGGAGAACCUGGUGCUAAAUCACUUGCAGACGACCUGAUUCUGGGUCAGGGUUUCGUACGUAGCAGAGCAGCUCCUUCGCUGCGAUCU
Molecule: ribosomal RNA, 209 nt
Filed under: Citharus linguatula
Lineage: Eukaryota; Metazoa; Chordata; Actinopteri; Pleuronectiformes; Citharidae
Description: partial 28S ribosomal RNA
Source: RNAcentral